GGGGGUGUUAAAAAUACUCCCUCCCCCCGCAGUAGUUCCGGCCCUGAUAAGAAGUAACUAAUGCGACGAUAAUAUUGUAAGUAAUAUGUAUUCAUCAAUAUUUGCAGCUGAAAACAAUGGUAUAUAGGUAUUCAUUACUGUGCUGAAACUUGGUUUCUCUUCCUCCAUGGAUACGUGCCAAUGGUGUUGAAGACAUCUCGGUUGUUUCUAAACCUUUACAAUUUUUGUUAUGUUGGGAAAAGUGUUGAAUUUCGUUGCGUUCCUUGUAAAUCAGAA
Paramuricea clavata is the source of this 276-nucleotide non-coding RNA. Lineage: Eukaryota; Metazoa; Cnidaria; Anthozoa; Malacalcyonacea; Plexauridae. The record is from the annotation of a GenBank genome assembly.